Molecule: long non-coding RNA, 754 nt
Organism: Rosa rugosa (rugosa rose)
Lineage: Eukaryota; Viridiplantae; Streptophyta; Magnoliopsida; Rosales; Rosaceae
Exons: 7
Source: RefSeq, a predicted model, not a curated record
CUAGUUCAGCUCCACCUCCUUCCAAUUUUUCUUCCUCCUCCGUUGCUCAGAUCCUAAACUCUAAUACCCAGAAAUCAAUCAGAUCUGUUUGUCUCUCACUUUGUGGACUGCAUCUUGUCGAUCUCCACUCUCAAAACAGAAUGAGAGAGCAGAAUCAGAGCAGAAGAAAGCAGAAAAUCUGAUAGCGCUGGCAGAAAAGAGAAAGAGAGAAAAUGAGAAGCUUCACUCAGAAAUAAUUGAAUUGAAAGACCAGCUCCAAGCCAAACAGGCAGUGAAUGAGGAUUUUGAAGCCCAGAAGAAAAUUAAAGCACUUGAACAAGUGUUAAAGGAGAAGGCGCAGGAGCUUACUGAUCUGUCCGAAUUUUACAAUCCACUGAUUUUCAAGGAGAGGAGCAAUAAUGAUGAGCUGCAGGGGGCCCGUAAAGAGUUAAUUGAGAUCAUUGAGUUAAGAGAAAGAAGACGAGAGACUGAAGAUCUUGGUUGAACAAGGGUGCAUUAUUGGACGAACAUAUAGCAGAACAAACUGUGGUACUUUGAAUGAGAGAGGGAGAGCAAAUCUGUGGUUUUGAUGGGUUUCAAUGUCCCUUAAACGCCGUCGGUUCACUGCGAUCUGAACCAUCUCCACUCUUCGCUUUAGGCUAUCCAAGAGUAGAAGAAGAGUGGCUUUCUAGGUCAGUGACAGAGGUAUUUCAAAGGUCCUGAGCUCCUUGUUUAUUUACAAGAUUAUGACUAUUCUUUGGAAUUCAUAUGAGGU